UACGUAGGGCGCAAGCGUUAUCCGGAAUUAUUGGGCGUAAAGAGCUCGUAGGCGGUUUGUCGCGUCUGCUGUGAAAGACCGGGGCUCAACUCCGGUUCUGCAGUGGGUACGGGCAGACUAGAGUGCAGUAGGGGAGACUGGAAUUCCUGGUGUAGCGGUGAAAUGCGCAGAUAUCAGGAGGAACACCGAUGGCGAAGGCAGGUCUCUGGGCUGUAACUGACGCUGAGGAGCGAAAGCCAGGGGAGCGAACGGG
RNAcentral lists this ribosomal RNA (253 nucleotides) under uncultured bacterium. RNAcentral describes it as "partial 16S ribosomal RNA". It matches the Rfam family "Bacterial small subunit ribosomal RNA", at positions 524 to 776 of the family's 1533-position model. The record is from RNAcentral.